GCCAGGCGUGGUGGCGCACACCUGUAGUCCCAGCUACUCAGGAGGCUGGGAUGGGAGGAUCACUUGAGCCCAGGAGGUCAAGGCUGCAGUGAGCUGAGAUCGCAUCACUGCACUCUGGCCUGAGUGACAAAGUGAAAACCUGUCUCAA
Molecule: signal recognition particle RNA, 148 nt
Filed under: Nomascus leucogenys (northern white-cheeked gibbon)
Lineage: Eukaryota; Metazoa; Chordata; Mammalia; Primates; Hylobatidae
Description: Metazoan signal recognition particle RNA
Rfam family: Metazoan signal recognition particle RNA
About the family: The signal recognition particle (SRP) is a universally conserved ribonucleoprotein. It is involved in the co-translational targeting of proteins to membranes.
Source: Rfam by way of RNAcentral